GAUGCCUACGGGGCGCAGCAGUGAGGAAUAUUGGUCAAUGGGCGGGAGCCUGAACCAGCCAAGUCGCGUGAGGGAAGACGGCCCUAUGGGUCGUAAACCUCUUUUGUCAGGGAGCAAAGGCGUCCACGUGUGGACGAGAGGAGAGUACCUGAAGAAAAAGCAUCGGCUAACUCCGUGCCAGCAGCCGCGGUAAUACGGAGGAUGCGAGCGUUAUCCGGAUUUAUUGGGUUUAAAGGGUGCGUAGGCGGAGUGUCAAGUCAGCGGUAAAAUUUCGGGGCUCAACCCCGUCGUGCCGUUGAAACUGA
RNAcentral lists this ribosomal RNA (305 nucleotides) under uncultured bacterium. Its description in RNAcentral is "bacterial SSU rRNA". It matches the Rfam family "Bacterial small subunit ribosomal RNA", at positions 334 to 636 of the family's 1533-position model. The record is from RNAcentral.